CUCCAGAUGUUGCUGAACUACAACUCCCAUGAUUCUUUGAAUUACAUAGAGCCAGAGAAUCAUGGGAGUUGUAGUUCAGCAACAUCUGGGG
Non-coding RNA from Pelobates cultripes (western spadefoot toad), 91 nucleotides. The record is from the annotation of a GenBank genome assembly. Lineage: Eukaryota; Metazoa; Chordata; Amphibia; Anura; Pelobatidae.